RNAcentral lists this ribosomal RNA (489 nucleotides) under uncultured bacterium. Its description in RNAcentral is "partial 16S ribosomal RNA". It matches the Rfam family "Bacterial small subunit ribosomal RNA", at positions 30 to 507 of the family's 1533-position model. The record is from RNAcentral.
AUUGAACGCUGGCGGCAGGCCUAACACAUGCAAGUCGAACGGUAACAGGAAGCAGCUUGCUGCUUUGCUGACGAGUGGCGGACGGGUGAGUAUGUUCGGGAAAACGCCUGAUGGAGGGGGAUAACCACCGGAAAAGGUAGCCAAUACCGCAUAACGUUGCAAGACCAAAGAGGGGGACCUUUGGGGCCUCUUCCAUUCGGUGUGCCCAGAUGGGAUUAGCUAGUAGGUGGGGUAACGGCUCACCUAGGCGACGAUCCCUAGCUGGUCUGAGAGGAUGACCAGCCACACUGGAACUGAGACACGGUCCAGACUCCUACGGGAGGCAGCAGUGGGGAAUAUUGCACAAUGGGCGCAAGCCUGAUGCAGCCAUGCCGCGUGUAUGAAGAAGGCCUUCGGGUUGUAAAGUACUUUCAGCGGGGAGGAAGGGAGUAAAGUUAAUACCUUUGCUCAUUGACGUUACCCGCAGAAGAAGCACCGGCUAACUCCGUG